RNAcentral lists this unclassified non-coding RNA (340 nucleotides) under Hevea brasiliensis (rubber tree). Lineage: Eukaryota; Viridiplantae; Streptophyta; Magnoliopsida; Malpighiales; Euphorbiaceae. The record is from RNAcentral.
GUUUUGGGACGAGAUGGAGCUCAGAAGACCGGGUUUUAGUCUCUUUCUAGGGUUUUUGUUUGUGUAUUUGAUGGUUCCUAAUUCUCUAGCGAGAUUUGUGGUGGAGAACAACAGCUUGAGGGUGACAUCGCCGGAAAAAAUAAAGGGGACGCAUGAUAGUGCGAUAGGGAAUUUUGGGAUGCCACAAUACGGGGGUAGUAUGGCAGGGACUGUGGCUUACCCUAAAGAUAACAGUAAGGGCAGUAAGGAGUUUGAUGAUUUUGGGAUUUCUUUCAAGUGUAAGCCUGGAGCUUUACCGACUUUUGUCUUGCUCGAUCGUGGAGACUGCUUCUUUGCUUUG